GGGGUAUAGUUCUUCGGAACUAGAGACCGGCGCACGGGUGCGUAACGCGUAUGCAAUCUACCUUUCACAGAGGGAUAGCCCAGAGAAAUUUGGAUUAAUACCUCAUAGUAUGUAUGAAUGGCAUCAUUUAUACAUUAAAGUCACAACGGUGAAAGAUGAGCAUGCGUCCCAUUAGCUAGAUGGUAAGGUAACGGCUUACCAUGGCAACGAUGGGUAGGGGUCCUGAGAGGGAGAUCCCCCACACUGGUACUGAGACACGGACCAGACUCCUACGGGAGGCAGCAGUGAGGAAUAUUGGACAAUGGGCGCAAGCCUGAUCCAGCCAUGCCGCGUGCAGGAUGACGGUCCUAUGGAUUGUAAACUGCUUUUGUACAGGAAGAAACACUGGUUCGUGAACCAGCUUGACGGUACUGUAAGAAUAAGGAUCGGCUAACUCCGUGCCAGCAGCCGCGGUAAUACGGAGGAUCCAAGCGUUAUCCGGAAUCAUUGGGUUUAAAGGGUCCGUAGGCGGUUUAGUAAGUCAGUGGUGAAAGCCCAUCGCUCAACGGUGGAACGGCCAUUGAUACUGCUAAACUUGAAUUAUUAGGAAGUAACUAGAAUAUGUAGUGUAGCGGUGAAAUGCUUAGAGAUUACAUGGAAUACCAAUUGCGAAGGCAGGUUACUACUAAUGGAUUGACGCUGAUGGACGAAAGCGUGGGUAGCGAACAGGAUUAGAUACCCUGGUAGCCCACGCCGUAAACGAUGGAUACUAGCUGUUGGGCGCAAGUUCAGUGGCUAAGCGAAAGUGAUAAGUAUCCCACCUGGGGAGUACGU
RNAcentral lists this ribosomal RNA (813 nucleotides) under uncultured Bacteroidota bacterium. RNAcentral describes it as "bacterial SSU rRNA". It matches the Rfam family "Bacterial small subunit ribosomal RNA", at positions 66 to 885 of the family's 1533-position model. Lineage: Bacteria; Pseudomonadati; Bacteroidota. The record is from RNAcentral.